Molecule: ribosomal RNA, 301 nt
Filed under: uncultured bacterium
Lineage: Bacteria
Description: bacterial SSU rRNA
Rfam family: Bacterial small subunit ribosomal RNA
Source: RNAcentral
AACGAACGCUGGCGGCAUGCCUAACACAUGCAAGUCGAACGAGAUCCUUCGGGGUCUAGUGGCGCACGGGUGCGUAACGCGUGGGAAUCUGCCCUUAGGUACGGAAUAACUCAGGGAAACUUGUGCUAAUACCGUAUGAUGUCUUCGGACCAAAGAUUUAUCGCCUAGGGGAUGAGCCCGCGUAGGAUUAGCUAGUUGGUGGGGUAAAGGCCUACCAAGGCUACGAUCCUUAGCUGGCUGAGAGGAUGAUCAGCCACACUGGGACUGAGACACGGCCCAAACUCCUACGGGAGGCAGCAGU